CUCGGAUAGCAAUAGUGAGGGAAGCUUCAAGAACCUUGACAAAUUGACCAUGGGGCAUGUCAAUCUGAGGUUGAAACAUUGCUUUUAGCCACAUUAAUACACGAGGUGAUGCAUGCUUUAGAUUUUGACCCUCAUGCCUUUGCACAUUUCCAUGAUGAGUGAAAGAGAUGAAGGCGUAGCCAGGUAUCAAUUUGCAGUUUGUCAUUAUAACUUAUUCCUCUUGUUACUUUAUACAUAGCUUCUGGUUACUUUU
Molecule: long non-coding RNA, 253 nt
Organism: Zingiber officinale
Lineage: Eukaryota; Viridiplantae; Streptophyta; Magnoliopsida; Zingiberales; Zingiberaceae
Exons: 3
Source: RefSeq, a predicted model, not a curated record